GUCCCCUUAGUGAAACGGAUAUAACAAGCCCCUCCUAAGGGCUAGUUGCAGGUUCGAUUCCUGCAGGGGACGCCA
This 75-nucleotide transfer RNA is filed under the name Xenorhabdus bakwenae. Its description in RNAcentral is "Xenorhabdus sp. SF857 tRNA-Arg". It matches the Rfam family "tRNA". From Rfam's summary of the family: Transfer RNA (tRNA) molecules are approximately 80 nucleotides in length. Their secondary structure includes four short double-helical elements and three loops (D, anti-codon, and T loops). Lineage: Bacteria; Pseudomonadati; Pseudomonadota; Gammaproteobacteria; Enterobacterales; Morganellaceae. The record is from RNAcentral.